Molecule: non-coding RNA, 107 nt
Organism: Gossypium hirsutum (cotton)
Lineage: Eukaryota; Viridiplantae; Streptophyta; Magnoliopsida; Malvales; Malvaceae
Source: Rfam
AACCUAUGGUGAGGGCAACUUCUUAAUAAGUCCUUGUAUCUCUCCCAUGCAUCAUACAGAGUUUCUAGAUCCACCUACACAAAAGAAGAGAUAUCAUUCCUCAAUUU